Molecule: ribosomal RNA, 497 nt
Filed under: uncultured bacterium
Lineage: Bacteria
Description: partial 16S ribosomal RNA
Rfam family: Bacterial small subunit ribosomal RNA
Source: RNAcentral
GAUGAACGCUGGCGGCGUGCCUAAUACAUGCAAGUCGAGCGAACGGACGAGAAGCUUGCUUCUCUGAUGUUAGCGGCGGACGGGUGAGUAACACGUGGGUAACCUACCUAUAAGACUGGGAUAACUUCGGGAAACCGGAGCUAAUGCCGGAUAAUAUUUUGAACCGCAUGGUUCAAAAGUGAAAGACGGUCUUGCUGUCACUUAUAGAUGGAUCCGCGCUGCAUUAGCUAGUUGGUAAGGUAACGGCUUACCAAGGCAACGAUGCAUAGCCGACCUGAGAGGGUGAUCGGCCACACUGGAACUGAGACACGGUCCAGACUCCUACGGGAGGCAGCAGUAGGGAAUCUUCCGCAAUGGGCGAAAGCCUGACGGAGCAACGCCGCGUGAGUGAUGAAGGUCUUCGGAUCGUAAAACUCUGUUAUUAGGGAAGAACAUAUGUGUAAGUAACUGUGCACAUCUUGACGGUACCUAAUCAGAAAGCCACGGCUAACUACGUG